UACGAAGGGGGCUAGCGGUGUUCGGAAUCACUGGGCGUAAAGCGCACGUAGGCGGAUUUGCCAGUCAGGGGUGAAAUCCCGGGGCUCAACCUCGGAACUGCCUUUGAUACAGCAAAUCUCGAGCCCGGAAGAGGUGGGUGGAAUUCCUAGUGUAGAGGUGAAAUUCGUAGAUAUUAGGAAGAACACCAGUGGCGAAGGCGGCCCACUGGUCCGGUGCUGACGCUGAGGUGCGAAAGCGUGGGGAGCAAACAGG
This 253-nucleotide ribosomal RNA is filed under the name uncultured bacterium. RNAcentral describes it as "partial 16S ribosomal RNA". It matches the Rfam family "Bacterial small subunit ribosomal RNA", at positions 524 to 776 of the family's 1533-position model. The record is from RNAcentral.